Elaeis guineensis (African oil palm) is the source of this 2429-nucleotide non-coding RNA. NCBI's taxonomy places the organism in Eukaryota, Viridiplantae, Streptophyta, Magnoliopsida, Arecales, Arecaceae. The record is from RefSeq and is a predicted model, not a curated record.
CACCAAACGCAAGAGAGAAACCAAGCAAAGCGCUCGCGAAGAAAGAACGAAGACUCUGCUGUGAAUUCUAAGCAAAAGAGACGCGGCACCUAUAAACUAUAAAUAACCCGAAACACCUUCCCACCGCUUCCAAACUCGUCGCCCACGUCCUCUGCCCGCCUCUCUCAUCUCUCCCUCCCACUCCGAUCUCUUUGAUCUCUUCUUCGAUUCUGGAUCUCGUUGCUGCGAGCUCGGCUCGAUCCGUGGAGCCGUCGGUGCGGAUCGGGGAAGCGAGGGAUUGCUCGAAUCUGAUUGGGGGAGGGAGAGAGAUCUCGGCGCCUCGACACGGUGAAAAGCGAAUGCGGGAUUUUGGAAUUGGGUUUUAGGUUUGUCUCCAUCGGAUUAUCUCUGGUUUCGGAUUAACAGGUCAGAAGUGCUUAAUUGGGGUUCUUUGAGGUGGAGAUCUCCGGUAUUGAUAGAUCUGGAGCUGCGAUCAUGGUGUACGGGGGUUUUCUCUGAUGUCACCAUUGCCCACAAAGCUUCAAUUUUUUAAUCUUCCAGUACUGUAGUUGCAUCUUUUAGUUGGGAAAGACUUAUCGCUGAGAUGAAAAACGGGAUGAUAGAAUGCAGUGUCUGCCAUUCCAAAUUGCUUUCCCCAAGCACCAGAACUGUGUCAAGGGCAUACGACAGGCAUAGAAGCAAGAUAUCAUCAAAGACUCGUGCUCUUAACAUUCUUCUCGUUGUAGGUGACUGCAUUUUGGUUGGCCUGCAGCCAAUUUUAGUUUAUAUGUCUAAGGUGGAUGGGAAAUUCAUGUUUAGUCCAGUCAGUGUUAACUUUUUGACAGAGGCUGCAAAGGUUCUCUUUGCCAUCGUCAUGCUAUUGUUCCAGGCUAGACAUCAAAAGGUUGGAGAGAAAUCCCUACUUUCAGUUUCUACAUUCAUCCAGGCAGCUCGUAAUAAUGCCCUUCUUGCUGUUCCUGCUCUUCUGUAUGCCAUCAACAAUUAUCUAAAGUUUAUCAUGCAGUUAUACUUCAAUCCAGCUACUGUGAAAAUGUUGAGCAAUCUGAAGGUUUUGGUAAUAGCUGUCCUCUUAAAGAUCAUAAUGAGAAGGCGCUUUUCCGUAAUUCAGUGGGAGGCUCUUGCACUUUUGCUAAUUGGAAUCAGUGUUAAUCAGCUCCGGUCACUGCCUGAGGGUGCUACCACACUUGGUCUUCCAGUUGCAACGGUUGCGUACAUAUAUACAGUAGUUUUUGUCACUGUUCCAUCAUUGGCCUCAGUUUACAAUGAGUAUGCUUUAAAGAGCCAAUUCGAGACAAGUAUAUAUCUUCAGAACCUAUUUUUAUAUGGUUAUGGAGCAAUAUUCAACUUUCUUGCCAUCCUAGGAACUGCCAUUUUCAAAGGGCCUGGUAGUUUUGACAUCCUUCAAGGCCACUCGAAGGCCACAAUGCUUCUUAUAUGCAACAAUGCAGCACAGGGCAUACUUUCUUCAUUCUUUUUCAAAUAUGCAGACACAAUUUUGAAGAAAUAUUCAUCUACUGUUGCCACUAUUUUUACUGGGAUAGCAUCUGCUGCAUUGUUUGGUCAUACAUUGACAAUAAAUUUUAUUUUGGGAAUCUCAAUAGUGUUUAUAUCGAUGCACCAGUUCUUUUCUCCACUUGCAAAAGUGAAAGAUGAGGCACCAAAUGGAACAUUAGAAAUGAUGGAUGUUCAAAAUCUUAGGUCAAAGGAAGCUUCUUUUAUAAAUAUGACUGCUGGUGCAGCUGAAGAUGCUAGUCACCAUGUUGGACCCGAUGAGAGAGAACCACUUCUGCCCAAAUAGUGUUACUUUGGAGGGCAAAGGCUGAACGAAGCACAAGCUAAUGAUUUCAAAAGUGAUAUAAAUAGAAUCACGAUCCUGAUGGAUGAAAUCUUGAAAGCAUCUGGCAACAAGGAGGUGGAAUGGAUCUGUGCAAGUUGCUGUAAACCAAAUGUAAAGGGUUUUGCAACCAGAUCUAUGGGUCGAUAUGGUAUUUUUCUGAAACAGAUUCAUUUGUUGGGGUAUGGUUUAGAGAUGAACCAGUUCUUAACGGAAAUAAUGGAAAAGAAAAACACCAUCACAAAGGAAAAACAAGAAUUAUAUAUAUAUAUAUAUAUAUAUGUCUUUUUAGCCUGCAACUAAAAAGGUUGUAGGUUUCCUGAAGGCAAGAUAAGACAUUGCCUAGAAAGGUUGUGGGGGACCAAGAUCGCGUUCAGGCUGCAGAGAAGUCACAUUGUCAGCUGCUGGCUUAUUCUUUUGUACCGGAAUUCCCUAGUGAUCAGAUGACAGGCAUAGUGUUUCAUUUUUCCUCUGUUGUAUUCUGUUUCUGACUUAAUUCUUUCAUGUGAUUAAGAGGUCUGGAUUCUUUAUGUCGACAUAUUUCUCAUCCUUGUAUAUUUCUUCGGGCAACUUUAUCAGGUAUCUUGUGUUGGUA